AGAGUUUGACUCCGUGGCUCGAGACGACGCUGGCGGCGUGCUUAACACAUGCAAGUCGAACGAUGAAGCCUAGCUUGCUAGGUGGAUUAGUGGCGAACGGGUGAGUAAUACGUGAGUAACCUACCUUUAACUCUGGGAUAAGCCUGGGAAACUGGGUCUAAUACCGGAUACGACCAAUCUCCGCAUGGGGUGUUGGUGGAAAGCGUUAUGUAGUGGUUAUAGAUGGGCUCACGGCCUAUCAGCUUGUUGGUGAGGUAACGGCUCACCAAGGCGACGACGGGUAGCCGGCCUGAGAGGGUGACCGGCCACACUGGGACUGAGACACGGCCCAGACCCCUACGGGAGGCAGCAGUGGGGAAUAUUGCACAAUGGGCGCAAGCCUGAUGCAGCGACGCCGCGUGAGGGAUGACGGCCUUCGGGUUGUAAACCUCUGUUAGCAGGGAAGAAGAGAGAUUGACGGUACCUGCAGAGAAAGCGCCGGCUAACUACGUG
RNAcentral lists this ribosomal RNA (492 nucleotides) under uncultured Rothia sp. Its description in RNAcentral is "bacterial SSU rRNA". It matches the Rfam family "Bacterial small subunit ribosomal RNA", at positions 8 to 507 of the family's 1533-position model. The record is from RNAcentral. Lineage: Bacteria; Bacillati; Actinomycetota; Actinomycetes; Micrococcales; Micrococcaceae.